Panicum virgatum (switchgrass) is the source of this 1788-nucleotide long non-coding RNA. RefSeq lists it as uncharacterized. The transcript is spliced from 3 exons. NCBI's taxonomy places the organism in Eukaryota, Viridiplantae, Streptophyta, Magnoliopsida, Poales, Poaceae. The record is from RefSeq and is a predicted model, not a curated record.
GGAGCAGUGGCCCGAGGUGCGGGCGCCACGAGCGCGGUGUUCAUGGCCAUCCCGGCGGCCCGGCACUGGUGGGGGCGCCAGCGGCCACGGCUACCCCAGCGCAGGCGGGAUUGUGGGCGCAGCGGCUCUGGCAGCUCCAAUGCCAGACAUGCAGGCACGGGCGAGGACCCCCACCGGCCCCUGCGACCCCGGCGCGGCCGAUGAUGCGGGCGUGGCAGCUCCGGCCACCUUGAAGCUGGCGGCCCGGCGCUGGUGUGAGUGAGACCACCGACCACAACCUCUCCCCCACGUGCCUCCUCACCAGCCCGCCCCGUGCGCCGCCACCUUUCUCUUCGUCCUCCGCCCUGUGCGCCGCCUGCACUCUUCGUCCCUCAACAUCGGGCCACCUCCAAGGUAGCUAUUCUCGCGGGGCGAGGUCGCCGCCGAGCUCCUUGGCGACUUGUGUCACCUCCACGACAGAUGGCCCGCAGGGACCAUACAGCACGUGAAAAGGAUGUUGCACAUCUAGUACUCCACUGCUGAGUGCUGACUGGAUGGGUAUGUUGAACCGGACAGUAAGAAUGUUACAAGCUGGGAUAGAGCCUGUGCAAGUUUCACUUCUCUGUAGUCUUUCUUAAGUUUUUGCGCUUACCUUAUUGUUGCUGACACUGCUAAACUUCUAUGCUAGCUUUGUAUUCGAUAGUGAACCACCUGAAAUAAAGAAAAAGGAGCUUCGAAAAAGGUAUACAUAAAACUUCUUCUUUGCUCCUCUUCACUUAAAUCUCGAUACAAUUAUAGUUGAUAGAUUUCUAGAUCUGUCACGGGUGCCAAGCAGUUGAUGUAUUUCUCAAGUACAAAUACAGUUGUCUUGUUUUAGCACUAACAAUCAGCCAUAGUUCUAAGUUUCUAUUUGUUUUCCAGAAAAGGCAAUUUCUUAAAUAGGUUGUAAAAGUUGGGUUCUGCCAUUUUAUUAUUGCUGCAGUAAGGUUCGUUGUGACUGUUAUUGUACAAUCAAUGGCUCUUAUUGUACAAUGUGCUGUAUAACUCAAUUGCUUGUUUGGUCUAUCUGGUUUCUUGCAAGUGAAGGUCCUGACAAGAAGCAUCUGCAUAAAGUUUGCCUAUUACUAUUGUUUAGAGCUGAAAACUACAAUAAAGGGAAAAAACGGAUGAAGGGAUACAUGGCACCAGACUAUGCCUUGUUUGAAAAUGUUUCACCAAAGGAUCAAUGUUUUUAGUUUUCGUGCCUUGCUCCUGGAGAUAAUAACCAGGAGUAAGAACAGUACCGCUGCUGAUUCAGACAAAGCACUGAAUCUCCAAACUAAUGUAUGGAAUUGUUACACCAAAGGGGUGGCAUUGCAACUGAUUAACGGAUCACUUGAUGGGCACACCAGCAGCAAAGUGAUGCCAUGUAUCCACAUAUGUCUUCUUUGUGUAAAAGAGCAUUCAAAUUACAGGUCAAGCAUAUGUUCUGUUGUUGUGAUGCUAAUCAAAGGCUGGAUAAAGCUCCAGUACCCACGAAAGCAGGCAAAUCCUCUCUGGGACCUUCAUCAUGGUGUAGCAUGAUCAAUUUUCUCCGGCCUUGCCCCUUAGUUCGAUUGAUAUGGGCUUUUCAUUUACAAUAUCUGAUCACCAGGGCAAGUUGCUGGAGGAGGCGAGGCAGGUGACACAGGAGGCUGACACAUCUUUUUUUUCCCCCAGAGCUAGACUUUAUUGCUAGGGCCAGUGGCUAAGCGCCGUGGCAUAUUUCGAAUUUAGGGCGUUGAGAUAUAUGACAACUGCUAAGGGUACAUGCGACCCGUUGUACAUACA